AGUGAACGCUGGCGGUAGGCCUAACACAUGCAAGUCGAACGGCAGCACAGUAAGAGCUUGCUCUUACGGGUGGCGAGUGGCAGACGGGUGAGGAAUACAUCGGAAUCUACUUUUUCGUGGGGGAUAACGUAGGGAAACUUACGCUAAUACCGCAUACGACCUACGGGUGAAAGCAGGGGAUCUUCGGACCUUGCGCGAUUGAAUGAGCCGAUGUCGGAUUAGCUAGUUGGCGGGGUAAAGGCCCACCAAGGCGACGAUCCGUAGCUGGUCUGAGAGGAUGAUCAGCCACACUGGAACUGAGACACGGUCCAGACUCCUACGGGAGGCAGCAGUGGGGAAUAUUGGACAAUGGGGGCAAGCCUGAUCCAGCCAUACCGCGUGGGUGAAGAAGGCCUUCGGGUUGUAGAGCCCUUUUGUUGGGAAAGAAAAGCAGCAGGUUAAUACCCCGCUGUUCUGACGGUACCCAAAGAAUAAGCACCGGCUAACUUCGUG
This 492-nucleotide ribosomal RNA is filed under the name uncultured bacterium. RNAcentral describes it as "partial 16S ribosomal RNA". It matches the Rfam family "Bacterial small subunit ribosomal RNA", at positions 29 to 507 of the family's 1533-position model. The record is from RNAcentral.